RNAcentral lists this ribosomal RNA (482 nucleotides) under uncultured bacterium. RNAcentral describes it as "partial 16S ribosomal RNA". It matches the Rfam family "Bacterial small subunit ribosomal RNA", at positions 30 to 507 of the family's 1533-position model. The record is from RNAcentral.
AUUGAACGCUGGCGGCAUGCUUUACACAUGCAAGUCGAACGGUAACAGGUCUUCGGUUGCUGACGAGUGGCGAACGGGUGAGUAAUACAUCGGAACGUGCCUAGUAGUGGGGGAUAACUACUCGAAAGAGUAGCUAAUACCGCAUGAGAUCUACGGAUGAAAGCAGGGGACCUUCGGGCCUUGUGCCACUAGAGCGGCUGAUGGCAGAUUAGGUAGUUGGUGGGGUAACGGCUUACCAAGCCUGCGAUCUGUAGCUGGUCUGAGAGGACGAGCAGCCACACUGGAACUGAGACACGGCCCAGACUCCUACGGGAGGCAGCAGUGGGGAAUCUUGGACAAUGGGCGAAAGCCUGAUCCAGCAAUGCCGCGUGCAGGAUGAAGGCCCUCGGGUUGUAAAAUGCUUUUGUACGGAACGAAAAGCCUGGGGCUAAUCUCCCCGGGUCAUGACGGUACCGUAAGAAUAAGCACCGGCUAACUACGUG